UCACAAGGCUUUCUGGAGUUAUUCAGAGGCAAGGAAGGCAACGUUUAGGCCAGCAGAUUUUCUGAACAGACUCUCAACACCAUCAGCAGGGGAGCUGCAGGUGCUAUUGCUGCACAAAACAGAGAGGGAGUGAACUGGUGUGUGGUGCUGAGCUGCCUGCCAACUAAUGCACAGCUUGAGAAGGCACUGGACCCUUGUACUCAUGUUUGUCUAAAAGAUGUGUGGAAAAUGCUACGUUGCAUCUCAGAUGCUGGGCUGGAACUGAGUUUUCCUGGAGAAGUCUGACCAUCUGGAGAAGUAGAACCUCUUGUCUCAUUGCCAGUAGUGAUGCUCUGAUUAUGCUUGUUAAGUGCGGACAGAUAAAGCAUUGACCACUGCACCCAUUCAUUAUGGCUUUGUAUUUUUUUUUUUUUUUUGGUAGAUUCCUAAAAGCAGAGCUGCUUGCAAAACAAAUGGAAGAAAUUGCCUUCAUUGGGCUUCCCUCCUCACCCCUCAAUGAGAACCUCUGGAGUUGUACCAUGCAGCCCCAUUGCUUCAUGCAGCAGUGCUCUGGCUGUGAGUUCCAGUAAUCUCACUACCCAGUGAGUAUUU
Long non-coding RNA from Lagopus leucura (white-tailed ptarmigan), 591 nucleotides. RefSeq lists it as uncharacterized. The record is from RefSeq and is a predicted model, not a curated record. Lineage: Eukaryota; Metazoa; Chordata; Aves; Galliformes; Phasianidae. The transcript is spliced from 3 exons.